Molecule: ribosomal RNA, 465 nt
Filed under: uncultured bacterium
Lineage: Bacteria
Description: partial 16S ribosomal RNA
Rfam family: Bacterial small subunit ribosomal RNA
Source: RNAcentral
GACGAACGCUGGCGGCGUGCUUAACACAUGCAAGUCGAACGGAAAGGCCCUGCUUGCCGGGUACUCGAGUGGCGAACGGGUGAGUAACACGUGGGUGAUCUGCCCUGCACUUCGGGAUAAGCCUGGGAAACUGGGUCUAAUACCGGAUAGGAGCCAUUUUUAGUGUGAUGGUUGGAAAGUUUUUUCGGUUUAGGAUGAGCUCGCGGCCUAUCAGCUUGUUGGUGGGGUAAUGGCCUACCAAGGCGGCGACGGGUAGCCGGCCUGAGAGGGUGGACGGCCACAUUGGGACUGAGGGACGGCCCGGACACCUACGGGAGGCAGCAGGGGGGAAGAUUGCACAAGGGGCGCAAGCCGGAUGCAGCGACGCCGCGGGGGGGAUGACGGCCUUAGGGUUGAAAACGCCUUUCGCUAGGGACGAAGCUUUUUGUGACGGUACCUAGAGAAGAAGCACCGGCUAACUACGUG